UACGAAGGGUGCAAACGUUGCUCGGAAUCAUUGGGCGUAAAGCGCACGUAGGCGGCCCUGCAAGUCGGAUGUGAAAUCCCUCGGCCCAACCGAGGACGUGCAUUCGAAACUGCUUGGCUCGAGUAUGGAAGAGGGUCGCGGAAUUCCCGGUGUAGAGGUGAAAUUCGUAGAUAUCGGGAGGAACACCAGUGGCGAAGGCGGCGACCUGGGCCAAUACUGACGCUGAGGUGCGAAAGCGUGGGGAGCAAACAGG
RNAcentral lists this ribosomal RNA (253 nucleotides) under uncultured bacterium. RNAcentral describes it as "partial 16S ribosomal RNA". It matches the Rfam family "Bacterial small subunit ribosomal RNA", at positions 524 to 776 of the family's 1533-position model. The record is from RNAcentral.